AGUAAUGCUUAGUGAAUCUAGCUUAUGGAGGGGGAUAACUACGGGAAACUGUAGCUAAUACCGCGUAUAAUCUAGAGAUGAAAGUGUGGGACCUUCAGGCCACAUGCCAUAAGAUGAGCCCAAGUGGGAUUAUGUAUUUGGUGAGGUAAAGGCUCACCAGGCCGACGAUCUCUAUCUGGUCUGAGAGGAUGACCAGCCACUCUGAGACUGAGACACGGCCCAGACUCCUACAGGAGGCAGCAGUGGAGAAUAUUGCACAGUGGGGGCAACCCUGACCCAGCCAUGCCGCGUGAAUGAAGAAGGCCUUCGGGUUGUAAAGUUCUUUCCGUAUCGAGGAAGGCAUUUAGUUUAAUAGACUAGGUGAUUGACGUUAACUACAGAAGAAACACCGGCUAACUCCGUGCCAGCAGCCGCGGUAAUACAGAGGGUGCGAGCGUUAAUCGCAAUAACUGGGCGUAAAGGGCACGCAUGCGGUGACUUAAGUGAGGUGUGAAAGCCCCGGGCUUAACCUGAAAAUUGCAUUUCAUACUGGGUCGCUAUAGUACUUUAGGGAGGGGUAGAAUUCCACGUGUAGAGGUGAAAUGCGUAUAGAUGUGGAGGAAUAC
This 605-nucleotide ribosomal RNA is filed under the name soil bacterium Siso-S1T-M1LLLSSL-3. Its description in RNAcentral is "bacterial SSU rRNA". It matches the Rfam family "Bacterial small subunit ribosomal RNA", at positions 109 to 709 of the family's 1533-position model. The record is from RNAcentral.